This 416-nucleotide ribosomal RNA is filed under the name uncultured bacterium. RNAcentral's name for it is "bacterial SSU rRNA". It matches the Rfam family "Bacterial small subunit ribosomal RNA", at positions 358 to 772 of the family's 1533-position model. The record is from RNAcentral.
GGAAUAUUGGGCAAUGCUCGCAAGAGUGACCCAGCCAUGCCGCGUGCAGGAAGAAGGCCUUCUGGGUUGUAAACUGCUUUUGGAAGAGAACAAAACGGGCGUGCGCGCCAACUUGAGUGUAUCGUCAGAAUAAGCACCGGCUAACUCCGUGCCAGCAGCCGCGGUAAUACGGAGGGUGCAAGCGUUGUCCGGAUUUAUUGGGUUUAAAGGGUGCGUAGGCGGCUUAUUAAGUCAGGGGUGAAAGACUGCAGCUCAACUGUAGCAGUGCCUUUGAUACUGAUGAGCUUGAGUACAGAUGAGGCUGGCGGAAUGGGUGGUGUAGCGGUGAAAUGCAUAGAUACCAUCCAGAACACCGAUUGCGAAGGCAGCCGGCUAAACUGUAACUGACGCUGAGGCACGAAAGCGUGGGGAUCGAA